Molecule: non-coding RNA, 244 nt
Organism: Pelobates cultripes (western spadefoot toad)
Lineage: Eukaryota; Metazoa; Chordata; Amphibia; Anura; Pelobatidae
Source: the annotation of a GenBank genome assembly
AUCACGAACACGAGGUCGCGGCCAUUUUAAACAUGCGAAUGCACAGCGGUGUUCAACGCUUAAUUCAUGGAACUGAAAUCGGACACAGUUUUGCGCAAACACCGCUGAAGCCGCCGACCUCCCUUCUUGUUCGGUGAAAGUGCACGAACGGCCCGGUGUUCGGUAGUUUUGUUUGAGUGUGUUGUACCCCAGAUAGGAAUCCCAUGGAGCCCAUUCGCAUGAAACUGACUGUGUAAAGACUUUG